GUUUCCGUGGCGAGCCUGAUCGUGGGGCUUUGGAAUCGGAAGCUCUAGCCCAUCUUCUCUCCUGACCAGCCCUUCUCUUUUGCUGAGAUCUGUCCACGAAAGGAAGGAUUCAUAGCUACAGCUUCACCCGCCUCUCCGCGGUUCUGGGUGCGACCGGCCUUUGGAUGAACACUACAUUUCAGAACCACACUGUGGGAGUAAGGAGUCAGCAACUGAAAGCAUAAGCGUUGCAUAGUAUUAAAUGAACAGAGACGGAGAACAGCGGGCUGGCUUUUGGCGGUGUUUGUACUGGAAUCCAAUAAGCACGUCUGAGGGCUGGUCACCCCUUUGGGGAUGCAGUUUCCUCUGCUGGGUACAUUCGGAGAGAUUCCUUCACGACAUUCAUGUGAUGCUCUCACACACAGAAGGUCCUCCUUCCGGGAAGGUUUUGCCAGGUGGGAUGGGCUGACUUGGGAUCCCAAACCCUCAGGUUCCUUCACAGCCACCCAGCCGUAGGCCCUCCCAGCUGACUAUGGCUCUUUUCCCGAGUGGCUCUCAUCUUGUUUGUGGAAGAAUUCUCUGGGCCUGGAGAAGGGAAGGGCCGAGCUGACACAGAGC
Molecule: long non-coding RNA, 597 nt
Filed under: Ursus maritimus (polar bear)
Lineage: Eukaryota; Metazoa; Chordata; Mammalia; Carnivora; Ursidae
Description: lncRNA (ENSUMAG00000018610.1)
Source: RNAcentral